Molecule: long non-coding RNA, 235 nt
Filed under: Gossypium barbadense (sea-island cotton)
Lineage: Eukaryota; Viridiplantae; Streptophyta; Magnoliopsida; Malvales; Malvaceae
Description: long non-coding RNA (GBAR_LNC014770)
Source: RNAcentral
UGUAGGUGACUAUGUUUUUCUUAAGGCAUCUCCGUGGAAGAAGGUCAUUUGGUUUGGACAUAAGGGCAAGUUGAGCCCUAGGUUCAUUAGGCCGUAUCGAAUUUUGAAACGUGUGGGACCGAUUGCCUAUUAGUUAGAGCUACCUCCAGAGUUAGAUUGUUUUCACGAUGGAUUCCACAAUUCUAAUUUGAGGUGGUAUCUCUGUUGAGGAGAUUGAGGUAAGACCGGAUUUAAC